GAAAGAAAAAAUCUUCUCUUACCAGGUUUAAGAUUAUUUCAGGAACCUGAGUGACUGCUUCCCUGGGAAGCAGAAGGCAUGAGCUGACCUUCUGCAUAUUGGUGAUACAGUUCAUACAUGGAAA
This is a non-coding RNA of Lonchura striata (white-rumped munia), 124 nucleotides long. The record is from RefSeq and is a predicted model, not a curated record. Lineage: Eukaryota; Metazoa; Chordata; Aves; Passeriformes; Estrildidae.